This is a long non-coding RNA of Bubalus bubalis (water buffalo), 3670 nucleotides long. RefSeq lists it as uncharacterized. The transcript is spliced from 2 exons. The record is from RefSeq and is a predicted model, not a curated record. NCBI's taxonomy places the organism in Eukaryota, Metazoa, Chordata, Mammalia, Artiodactyla, Bovidae.
AGGUGGUAGAUUCUGAAGAUUGUUGCUAACCCAGGGCUCAUCCUCUUUUGAGUCAUGGAUUCAGAGGACUGCUAGCAAGCUCUUAAAUACUUCUGCUUUGUGUGAUUUAGUGGAUGGAACUGCAGGACUCAUAGAAGCCUGUGGAAGGUUUUCAGAACAUGGAUUAAUUGAAUAAUCAUUGAAUCUUUUGAAUAUACUAGUCCCUUUGAGGAAGAAAGGCCAUUUUACUGACGGAAGCCAUUUGUAAGGGGCUUUUAAAAGUUUAAAAAGCCCAGUUACUGCAGUUACUGCCCAUCUGUAUUUAUUUUAACUAUCACUCCCAUCUUCUUGUGUGAAGGAAAUGACUAUAUGGUUUCAACAAAGAAAAAGUUUUGCCAACUCUUUUUAACUGAAGAAACUUCAUCCACGUGUUACUCCUAACUGGAUUUUUGUCUUCCUGACUAUCCGCAAGGGGAAACUACCCCAUGAAGGAUACUAACCCUUCUGGCAGUAUCUGUGAUGUGUCUCAUUCAGAACCCGGUGGGCUCUCCACAGAUGAUUGGCAGUACUUUUAUCUAGAGGGGAAAGAGAAGGAAUCCAGUUACUGGAAACAGUGAGUGCAGCUUCAGAAAUUGUUGUCUCUCCCGAGUGGAGAAGUUGUUUGACCUCCUGACUCAUUUCAUAGGAAUUGGAGAAAACAACCUAGUGUGGUUUUCAUUGUUAGUCCUGGAAGAUUCCAAAAUCUGUGUGUCUGCAAAUGAGAUGAGCUGGAGAAAGGUAGUGUUGGCACUUGCUGUUUCUACUUGCCUGCUCUCCUAAUGGAAUUCAGUCCCUUGCCUCCAGACGAGUCCAGCCUGUUCCUGGGGAUCCCUUGUGUGGCCGUUCAGUGGUUCCAGCACCAGUCUCAGAAGAUCCCCAAGGCCCACUUCACUGCCCCAGACUCCCAUCUCUGCCUGCGCUCCUCUGUCUUCCUCAUCUCUUCACCUGCUAAUACCUGUGCAUUCUGAAGAGUCGUCUCAGGUAUCACCUCCUCCACGGAGCCCUCUGCCUUAGGUUAGAUGAUGUCAUGUGAUGUAAUCAGAGGGAGGAGGGAAGUGGGGAAAACGUGAGCAUGCUGUGUUAGAACCAGGUCUGUUCUUCCUCUCCCACAAGGCGCAAGCUACCUGAGGGGGAGGCUGUCCGUGUCACCGGGUCUGGCUGUCACUGUUGUCCUCCUUACAGAAGGAAUAAGGGGAGGCACAAUAAAAGCAGGCCAAGGCCCAGGCCACCGACUUCCUCCUGCGCCUGGCGGAGCUUGGGAAAGAGCUCAGCUAAGCUCCAGGCAGAGUGAAGGCGCAGCAGUCAGGGUGGGUGGAAGGAAGCCUUGCCUCACAGAGCAGCUGGCUAAACUCUCCUUCCUGCCCGCCCUCCAGAUUCCACAGCAGGACCCACCCACCUGUACUGCACACCCUUUUUGACAUGUACCCCGAGCACUAUCCAGAGUCUAGGACUCAAGAAUUAUUUCCUGAUGGACUUAAUUACUUAUUUAGCAGGCGAUGUGGCAAAAGCACAUCCUGGAGUGUCUGUUAAAUCAACUGUACUUCUAUUAAAAAAAAAAAAGACCAGGGAAGGAAAAAAAAAAAAAAAGACGUGUGUUACUGUCUCUCUGUGGGUAUAAGGCGUUGUGCUGGCCACUGUGGGCAGUCAGAGGGAAGGCCUUCUGGGCCUGCAUGGGGCUGACUGUCCAGCUGGGGAGAAAAUGAGCAUGCAGGCCACAUCGGGGACGAGAUAGCCGGGGCGACCACGUCACAAGGCAGCAUGUGAUUAAUUGCCAAACAAAUGGCUCAAGAACAUGGUGGUGAUUGAACAUGGUAUGUCCAAGUGCCCCACCCCUCAGCACUUCUGAGCCCAGCGGGCCCUGCCUUCUGCCUCUCUCACCCAGGAGUAACCCCGUUGAUGCGUCUCAUACAGCAUAGGUACUCAGCCAGUCGGGCCAAGUCCUUCAAGCUCAGAUCCCGGCCUGCCUCCCGGCCCCCAGGGCCUUCUACCCUUGAACCCAAAGCUGCAGAGAUGCUCAAGAGAACGUGCCAUCUUGUUUCUGAACAACCCACCUCCCUCCCUUGUCCAGCCUUGUCCCUCCUUUAAAACCCUCCUCUUCUUUUAAAACCCAGCCUAGAGUUCCUCCAUAAAGCCUGCUGAGCCCCUUGCGUGUGCUGGACGGCAAUGCGCACGUGAGUUUGUCCUGCGGCAGGAGGAGGGAAGGAGGUGAACUCCUGCCGCAGGGUCCUGUCUCUUCUCCUCACACUCUGAGCACAUGUCCCAUAAGCGUUUGUCAUUGACCGAAACACAUUACGACUGAGCACGCAUCGGUUGGUUCUGCAGUUGAGACCUGCGUGCUGGUGAGUGCAGAAGGUGACAUGCCCAGGCGGUCCAGGGAGGCUGCAUACAGUAGGGAAGGUUGAACUGCACCUUAAAGGUUCCGUUCAGAGAACAGGUAGAGAACGAGGAGCGUCUGAGGUGGGAUAGCCCUGUGUCUGACUGCUGACAGCCCAAUUGGCCUCUCAAAACAGAAGCACAGAGGAGAGGGAGCGAGCCCUGCAGGGCAGAGUGGUGGGGGUGGCUUAUUUUAGCUGGAGCAGAGGGUUUACCUAAAGGCAGGCAGGAGGCUGCCCUGGAGGAAGGGUGGAUGUAAGUGAUGGAAGGUGAUGGGAAGACCUCAAAUGCAGUGGGGUAUCUUGCAGCAGUGGGCACCCUCUGUUACCUGUGAAAACCAUGGUGAUCUGACCAAAGUGGUGUUGAAAGUGGGAGCUGCCCCAUGGCCCUUCCUUAAUUUUAACACCACGGUCCAAGGCCCACCAUCUCGGUGCUGCCCGAGACGGUCAGCACCCAGGUGCGGAGCCCCUCCACACACACACAGCCUCACCUGGAAACACUGGGCUUCCUGUAAACAAAGGCUCUGCUUCCGGCACUGCCCUUGACCUGGCUCUGAGCUGUUGAUUCUUUGAGUCCAUUCAGCUCUGCCCUGUCCCUGUCCCCUCGUGACUGGCAGUGACCCGGAAGGUGGCAGCGCCCCCGCAGCAGGUGGCCUCCAGAGCUGAGUCACCGCCCUGGGAACAGUGCCCUGGCAAGGCCGGCCCAGGCAAACCGGGAGGUCUCCACCUCGCCCAGCUCUGCAAGGCUCUCAGGGCACCGUUGGUGCUCCCGAGAAAGGGAUCCUUUAUGCAUCCCGAGUGUCAUCAGGCUGAUAGGAAAAGUGAAAUAGAGGCCACGGAAGACCAAAAAGGAAACUGUCCUGAUGGUCAUUUCUGGCUGGUGUCUUUGGCAAAGUGCAAAGGGUUUUUCUCAACAGUUACAGGGGCUGUGGUGGUUUUAAUUGAACAGACGCAAAUUAUCCAUUGAUGGCUAUCUUUAAGAAUGGAAUGAAGAGGUUUUGAAAAUGUUGGCUUAAGAUUCUGUUUGACCUUGUACAGUAAGAGAGCUCAAGGAACAAAAUGACAUGGAGCGAUAGAGUACCUAAGCUGCCAGUAUCCUUAGAAAUGAGCAAACGAGGUUUAGGGUUUCUUUAAGUUUUCUAUAUGAUUCAUAGAUAUUCUGGUGGAUGUUGUUUUUAUGGUGCUUUCAUUUCAUCCCAGAGAAGAUAAAAAUGCAGUGUUACUCUUGAAAGGAAGGGUUUUUUUUUUUUUUUUUUUUUUUUUUUAAUCUGACUUGUUUA